This 85-nucleotide transfer RNA is filed under the name Felis catus (domestic cat). It matches the Rfam family "tRNA". Rfam says of the family: Transfer RNA (tRNA) molecules are approximately 80 nucleotides in length. The record is from Rfam by way of RNAcentral. RNAcentral also lists the same sequence under 2 other names. Lineage: Eukaryota; Metazoa; Chordata; Mammalia; Carnivora; Felidae.
GCCUGGGUGGUUCAGUCGGUUAAGCAUCUGACUUUGGCUCAGGUCAUGAUCUCACGGUUUGUGGGUUUGAGCGCCACCCUGGGCU